GGGGGGGGGCGGACAGUUCGAGAGGUGUUGGCCCUCACUAAAGCCAACGUCCCCAGUCUAGUCUUCUUAAGCGAGACUAGGCAAGAUGUAGUGAGAAUGGAAAAGCUGAAGUGGAGAUUGGGAUUAAAAGGAUUCCAUGGUGUGAGUUCGGAUGGAAGAAGUGGUGGUUUGGCCCUCUUUUGGGAUGAAACCCUUAAGGUGAUUGUCUUGGAUUCGUGCAGUCGCUAUAUUGAUGUUCAUGUCGAUGAUGUGGGUGGUGGGACCUCAUGGAGAGGAACCUUUGUGUAUGGAGAGCCUAGAACGGAAAACAGACACCUAAUGUGGGAUCAUCUAGCUCGGCUCAGGGCAAGCUCGCAGGAUCCGUGGUUGGUUUUGGAGAUUUCAACAAAGCUAUGUGGCAACAUGAGCAUCUUUCCAGGACUUUGA
This 426-nucleotide ribosomal RNA is filed under the name Triticum aestivum (bread wheat). RNAcentral describes it as "partial small subunit ribosomal RNA". The record is from RNAcentral. Lineage: Eukaryota; Viridiplantae; Streptophyta; Magnoliopsida; Poales; Poaceae.